RNAcentral lists this ribosomal RNA (370 nucleotides) under uncultured eukaryote. Its description in RNAcentral is "partial 18S ribosomal RNA". It matches the Rfam family "Eukaryotic small subunit ribosomal RNA", at positions 592 to 976 of the family's 1831-position model. The record is from RNAcentral.
CAAUAGCGUAUAUUAAAGUUGUUGCAGUUAAAAAGCUCGUAGUUGGAUUUCUGGUCGGAAGCUCCUGUCCUCUGAUGAGCGUACAAGUGCGUCCUACCAUCCUUCUGUUAACCUUUAAGGCUUUCGCGGCUUUCUAGGGGCUCAGAUAUUUUACCUUGAGAAAAUUAGAGUGUUUCAGGCAGGCUAGCGCCGGAAUACAUUAGCAUGGAAUAAUGGAAUAGGACUUUUGCCUCUUCUGUUGGUCAUGAGGCUCGAGUAAUGAUUAAUAGGGAUAGUUGGGGGCGUUAGUACUUAACUGUCAGAGGUGAAAUUCUCGGAUUUGUUAAAGACUAACUUAUGCGAAAGCAUUUGCCAAGGAUGUUUUCAUUAA